This 2469-nucleotide ribosomal RNA is filed under the name metagenome. RNAcentral describes it as "bacterial LSU rRNA". It matches the Rfam family "Bacterial large subunit ribosomal RNA", at positions 589 to 2794 of the family's 2925-position model. The record is from RNAcentral.
AAGGGUGACUGCGUACCUUUUGUAUAAUGGGUCAGCGACUUAUAUUUUGUAGCGAGGUUAACCGAAUAGGGGAGCCGAAGGGAAACCGAGUCUUAACUGGGCGUCUAGUUGCAAGGUAUAGACCCGAAACCCGGUGAUCUAGCCAUGGGCAGGUUGAAGGUUGGGUAACACUAACUGGAGGACCGAACCGACUAAUGUUGAAAAAUUAGCGGAUGACUUGUGGCUGGGGGUGAAAGGCCAAUCAAACCGGGAGAUAGCUGGUUCUCCCCGAAAUCUAUUUAGGUAGAGCCUUGAGCGGACACCUUCGGGGGUAGAGCACUGUUUCGGCUAGGGGUCCAUCCCGGAUUACCAACCCGAUGCAAACUACGAAUACCGAAGAGUGAUACUCAGGAGACACACGGCGGGUGCUAACGUCCGUCGUGGAGAGGGAAACAACCCAGACCGCCAGCUAAGGUCCCAAAGUCUAUAUUAAGUGGGAAACGAAGUGGGAAGGCUUAGACAGCUAGGAUGUUGGCUUAGAAGCAGCCAUCAUUUAAAGAAAGCGUAAUAGCUCACUAGUCGAGUCGGCCUGCGCGGAAGAUGUAACGGGGCUCAAAUAUAGCACCGAAGCUGCGGCAUCAGACGAAAGUCUGUUGGGUAGGGGAGCGUUCUGUAAGCGGAUGAAGGUGGUUCGAGAGGGCUGCUGGACGUAUCAGAAGUGCGAAUGCUGACAUAAGUAACGAUAAAACGGGUGAAAAACCCGUUCGCCGGAAGACCAAGGGUUCCUGUCCAACGUUAAUCGGGGCAGGGUGAGUCGGCCCCUAAGGCGAGGCUGAAAAGCGUAGUCGAUGGGAAACGGGUUAAUAUUCCCGUACUUGGAUAAACUGCGAUGUGGGGACGGAGCAGGUUAGGUUAUCGCACUGUUGGAUAUGUGCGUUUAAGUUUGUAGGUGGGAAGUUUAGGCAAAUCCGGACUUCUAUAAACACUGAGAGAUGAUGACGAGGCUCUACGGAGCUGAAGUAACCGAUACCACACUUCCAGGAAAAGCCACUAAGCUUCAGGUUUAUCUAAACCGUACUGAAAACCGACACAGGUGGUCAGGUAGAGAAUACUCAGGCGCUUGAGAGAACUCGGGUGAAGGAACUAGGCAAAAUAGCACCGUAACUUCGGGAGAAGGUGCGCCGGCGUAGAUUGUAGUCCCUNNNNNNNNNNNNNNNNNNNNNNNNNNNNNNNNNNGAGAGAUGAUGACGAGGCUCUACGGAGCUGAAGUAACCGAUACCACACUUCCAGGAAAAGCCACUAAGCUUCAGGUUUAUCUAAACCGUACUGAAAACCGACACAGGUGGUCAGGUAGAGAAUACUCAGGCGCUUGAGAGAACUCGGGUGAAGGAACUAGGCAAAAUAGCACCGUAACUUCGGGAGAAGGUGCGCCGGCGUAGAUUGUAGUCCCUUGCGGGCGAAGGUUGAACCGGUCGAAGAUACCAGCUGGCUGCAACUGUUUAUUAAAAACACAGCACUCUGCAAACACGAAAGUGGACGUAUAGGGUGUGAUGCCUGCCCGGUGCUGGAAGGUUAAUUGAUGGUGUAAUCGAAAGAGAAGCUCCUGAUCGAAGCCCCAGUAAACGGCGGCCGUAACUAUAACGGUCCUAAGGUAGCGAAAUUCCUUGUCGGGUAAGUUCCGACCUGCACGAAUGGCAUAAUGAUGGCCAGGCUGUCUCCACCCGAGACUCAGUGAAAUUGAAAUCGCCGUGAAGAUGCGGUGUACCCGCGGCUAGACGGAAAGACCCCGUGAACCUUUACUAUAGCUUGACACUGAACAUUGAAUUUUGAUGUGUAGGAUAGGUGGGAGACUUAGAAGCAGUCACGCCAGUGAUUGUGGAGUCGACCUUGAAAUACCACCCUUUAACGUUUGAUGUUCUAACGAAGAUUACGAAACGUGGUCUCGGACAGUGUCUGGUGGGUAGUUUGACUGGGGCGGUCUCCUCCCAAAGAGUAACGGAGGAGCACGAAGGUUUGCUAAUGACGGUCGGACAUCGUCAGGUUAGUGCAAUGGUAUAAGCAAGCUUAACUGCGAGACAGACAAGUCGAGCAGGUACGAAAGUAGGUCAUAGUGAUCCGGUGGUUCUGAAUGGAAGGGCCAUCGCUCAACGGAUAAAAGGUACUCCGGGGAUAACAGGCUGAUACCGCCCAAGAGUUCAUAUCGACGGCGGUGUUUGGCACCUCGAUGUCGGCUCAUCACAUCCUGGGGCUGAAGUAGGUCCCAAGGGUAUGGCUGUUCGCCAUUUAAAGUGGUACGCGAGCUGGGUUUAGAACGUCGUGAGACAGUUCGGUCCCUAUCUGCCGUGGGCGUUGGAGAAUUGAUUGGGGCUGCUCCUAGUACGAGAGGACCGGAGUGGACGCACCACUGGUGUUCCGGUUGUGUCGCCAGACGCAUUGCCGGGUAGCUAAGUGCGGAAGAGAUAAGUGCUGAAAGCAUCUAAGCACGAAACU